Molecule: long non-coding RNA, 289 nt
Filed under: Setaria viridis
Lineage: Eukaryota; Viridiplantae; Streptophyta; Magnoliopsida; Poales; Poaceae
Description: long non-coding RNA (SVIR_LNC006090)
Source: RNAcentral
CCGGUUUGGGUAAAGUUUCCAAAGUGCAAAUUGGACUUCACCAUGGCAUAUCUCUCGUCGAGACGAUCGAAAUGCAUAUAUGGAACGUCCGAUUUGGACUUUGGAUGAGAGAGUUAUGCCCUCGGGAAGAUCAGCACCCCGUGCAGACUAGUCAGAUCGGCUUACCCCACCGGUCAGACCGGUUGGAUCAAAGUGCUCUAAAUAAAGAUUGGACUCCACCAUUGCGUAGAUCACAUCGAGUAGAUCAAGAUUCAUAUAUAGAACGUCCGAUUUGGAGUUCGGAUGAGGG